ACGCACGCUGGCGGCGCGCCUAACACAUGCCAGUCGAACGGAGCUGAGAGAAGCUUGCUUUUCUUAGCUUAGUGGCGAACGGGUGAGUAACGCGUGAGUAACCUGCCCUGGAGUGGGGGACAACAGUUGGAAACGACUGCUAAUACCGCAUAAGCCCACGAUCCGGCAUCGGAUUGAGGGAAAAGGAUUUAUUCGCUUCAGGAUGGACUCGCGUCCAAUUAGCUAGUUGGUGAGGUAACGGCCCACCAAGGCGACGAUUGGUAGCCGGACUGAGAGGUUGAACGGCCACAUUGGGACUGAGACACGGCCCAGACUCCUACGGGAGGCAGCAGUGGGGGAUAUUGCACAAUGGGGGAAACCCUGAUGCAGCGACGCCGCGUGGAGGAAGAAGGUUUUCGGAUUGUAAACUCCUGUCGUUAGGGACGAUAAUGACGGUACCUAACAAGAAAGCACCGGCUAACUACGUG
This 467-nucleotide ribosomal RNA is filed under the name uncultured bacterium. RNAcentral's name for it is "partial 16S ribosomal RNA". It matches the Rfam family "Bacterial small subunit ribosomal RNA", at positions 29 to 507 of the family's 1533-position model. The record is from RNAcentral.